GACGAACGCUGGCGGCGUGCUUAACACAUGCAAGUCGAACGGAAAGGCCCUUCGGGGUCCUCGAGUGGCGAACGGGUGAGUAACACGUGGGUGAUCUGCCCUGCACUUUGGGAUAAGCCUGGGAAACUGGGUCUAAUACCGAAUAGGACCGCGCGCUUCAUGGUGUGUGGUGGAAAGCUUUUGCGGUGUGGGAUGGGCCCGCGGCCUAUCAGCUUGUUGGUAGGGUAAUGGCCUACCAAGGCGACGACGGGUAGCCGGCCUGAGAGGGUGACCGGCCACACUGGGACUGAGAUACGGCCCAGACUCCUACGGGAGGCAGCAGUGGGGAAUAUUGCACAAUGGGCGCAAGCCUGAUGCAGCGACGCCGCGUGAGGGAUGACGGCCUUCGGGUUGUAAACCUCUUUCACCAGGGACGAAGCGCAAGUGACGGUACCUGGAGAAGAAGCACCGGCCAACUACGUG
This 462-nucleotide ribosomal RNA is filed under the name uncultured bacterium. Its description in RNAcentral is "partial 16S ribosomal RNA". It matches the Rfam family "Bacterial small subunit ribosomal RNA", at positions 28 to 507 of the family's 1533-position model. The record is from RNAcentral.